Molecule: long non-coding RNA, 2394 nt
Filed under: Anthonomus grandis grandis
Lineage: Eukaryota; Metazoa; Arthropoda; Insecta; Coleoptera; Curculionidae
Description: uncharacterized LOC126750540
Source: RNAcentral
UUAAUAUAAAUGUUUUUGGUCUCCUGCUUUUUGGCUAGUUAAACAUCCAAAUUCAGAUCUUCUAUUAAGACUGACUGUACCCUAGGCACUUAACCAACAUGACUGGAAAACUUUUUGUUAAUUUGUGUCUAUUGUUCAUUGGACUUUUUGGCACCACGUCCGCGCUUACCACAUGUUACGCAUGUGAAGGAACUUCGACAAUAUGUGACGACCCAGUGGACAUCAGUAAACUAGGCCAGUGCAUCUUCCUCAAAUACCUCUUUAGCUUUGCCAGUUUUCUCAAAGUUUAACAUCAGCACGACAGCACUUAAGCUCAGUCCAUUACAAGCCAAAACUGGUGGAACUUGUGGCAAAAUCGUGCUUACAUCUGGAUCUUUAAAAUCGACUGUUAGGCAAUGCUUUUAUGCAAACAUCGAUGGCCUGGACUUAUGCGAAUACUUAAAACAAAACGUGAGUGAUGUAUCAAUGACGUGUAAUACUUGUAAUACUGAUUUAUGUAAUUCCUCAAACGUCCUAAAGGGAGCAUAUUUGGGGUUGUUUUUAGCCCUUUUAGUUAGCUUGGUAUAUUUUAAGUAAAUAAUUGAUUUUGUUUUAAAGUAUCUCUUACCGAACCCAUUAAGGUGAUGCCCUAUUGUGUCAAGUAGCAAAUUCAAUUUUAUUUUAAGACGGAUGGAAGUGCGGAAACUUUGUAUGAAAUUUUAAUUAGCUGUUCUGCACUGCACUAACGGGUUUUAGUCGGUAAGAUACUCUCGUGAAACUUCUGAUGGGAUGAUGUUAAUAUUAUAUACCGAAGGGCUUUUAUAGUUUAAAUUGUAUUUGUAAUUGAGUUAAUUUUAUUAUAGGAUAGAUAAUUUAUUCAAUAAAUAUUUUUAUAGUUGUUUGCCUUUGAUUUGCUUAAGGAAUAUCAAAAAUUGAUAAAUUGUUUUGAUUGAUCGAUAAAGAUAAAGGGUCUCUAUACAGUGCAUCCCAAAAGUUAUGUCUAAAUUCAUUUAAAAUUCAGGGGUGUGUUCGAAAAAGAAACGCUCGGAUCCGUCGAUUUUUAUUUCAAGUUGCGCCUGUACUUCAUGUACAAAAUGAAGUUUGUAUAUACAGGGUUGCUCAAAAAUAAAUUACGACCAUCAACUUCAUUGUUUCAAAUGAAAGCACCUUUUUUUAUUUCAUCUUUGAAUUUCGCGUGGAAUUCUAGGUAUGUUUCAUGCAUCAUGUCCUAUACCUUAAAUCAACAGUUAUCGAAAAAAGACGAUUCAUGUAAUAAAUAAAAAAGAACAAAAAUUGAGUUAAAUGUUCAAAAUGGUUGCCAUUCACGGCUUGACAAUAUCCAAGGCGAUCAAUAGUCUCGUUGCACAUUUUCAAUCAUUUCCGGAGUUAUGGCGCGCACUUAGUUCUCUCUUUCAAGUCGUCUAGAUUAUUUGGCCUAUUAACAAAUACCUUCGACUUGAGGUAUCCCCCCAAAAAAAGUUGAUUGGUGUUAGGUCAGGUGACCUAACAGGCCAUUCGAUGGGUCCUCUCCUUCCUAUCCACCGAUUGGGAAAGGUUUUUUCCAAAAAUGUACGCAUAGUGGCAGCAUAGUGCGGAGGAGCGCCAUCUUGCUGGAAAAUUAGUUCUUCGUCAGGAUAGUCUGGGUCCAAUGGAUUUGGAAAUAAAGCUAGUAAUGCUAAAACCUUAGAACAUUGAAAGGCUAGAAUUAGUAAACAACAACUUUGUUUGAGUCCAACAUGUGCACAGGGGCAAGAGGGGUGUGUUGUUUACAAACAUAUUUGCCGAUUCUCUGUUGUCAAGUCGACGCGAAUUUCCAACGGAGGAAAUUUUUUGCUAUAUUUUAACAACCAUUAUAACGUUAAUUUAACUUACUUGUGUUGUAUUUUAUAGGAAAAUUUGAAUUAAAAAAUAUAAAUACUACAAUUAACCUAUUUUAAGAAUAAAUAUAAUAUCCUUAAGCAAAAAAAAGCAAAAUUAUUAACAUUCUUAUCCCUAAAACCGUUUCUAAAAAAUUUGAAGCGACAACACCGGAACUUAAGCGCCUGAGCCAUACGCAUAGUGUCAUCUGUCAAACGGCUUUUUGUUUACGUUCGGGAUUCGUGUAUUUUCUUUAAUUUUUUGGUUUCAAAAGGCAAAAGGCCACAUUUUAGUGUUUUUUUAAAUUGCUAGGAUGGCAAAAACUUGUGUCGUUUGUGCCGCAUCAUGAUAAAAAGGUGAUUCAAGCCGAUCUUUUCACAAGAUUUCUGAUGCACUGGUUAAAAACACAGCAGCCGAUAAUUCAGUUAAUUUACCAAGUGAUUUACCCUUCAAAGCUGCAAGGGUAGUUUUCCUGAAGAGUGCAAAAACUUCUUUAGCUUCCAAAAUGGUAUAUAGUACAAACAGUGAAGCUAAUAUAGACAAAUCUGAUCUUUCAUC